This 515-nucleotide ribosomal RNA is filed under the name Calisius hackeri. RNAcentral's name for it is "partial 16S ribosomal RNA". It matches the Rfam family "Bacterial large subunit ribosomal RNA", at positions 1825 to 2598 of the family's 2925-position model. Lineage: Eukaryota; Metazoa; Arthropoda; Insecta; Hemiptera; Aradidae. The record is from RNAcentral.
GUCCUAUAGUAUUAAAUUGUAGGUUCGGCCUGCUCAAUGAUUAUAUUAAUUUAAUAGCCGCAGUAUCCUAACUGUGCAAAGGUAGCAUAAUCAUUUGUUUUUUAAUUGAAAGCUUGUAUGAAUGGUUUGAUGAAAGGUAAGCUGUCUUAUUCUUAAUUUGCUAAUUUAACUUUUAAGUUAAAAGGCUUAAAUUUGUUUGUUGGACGAGAAGACCCUAUAGAAUUUUACAUUUAUAAAAUAUUUACUAUAAUAAGGGAUUUAUUUCUGUAAAUUUUAUUUUAUGUUUCGUUGGGGAGACGGGGAAAUUGCUUUAACUUUCUUUUGUUACGUGUCAUUUAUUGUUGAUUUGUUGAUCCUAUAUUAUGGAUUUUAAGAAAAAAUUACCUUAGGGAUAACAGCGUAAUUUCUUGGGAGAGUUCUUAUCGAUCAAGGAGUUUGCGACCUCGAUGUUGGAUUAAAAUAAGUUUUGGGUGUAGGGGCUCAAUUACUAGGUCUGUUCGACCUUUAAAUUUUUA